This 954-nucleotide small RNA is filed under the name Pongo abelii (Sumatran orangutan). Its description in RNAcentral is "processed transcript". The record is from RNAcentral. Lineage: Eukaryota; Metazoa; Chordata; Mammalia; Primates; Hominidae.
CUGAACUACAAGGCUCAGCUGGUGAAGAACCUGCAACCCCGAAUUUAUUGUCCCUUUGCUGGGUAUUUUGUGGAAUCUCACCCAUCAGACAAGUACAUCAAGGAAACAAACACCAAAAAUGACCCAAAUGAACUCAACAAUCUUAUCAAGAAAAACUCUGAUGUGAUAACAUGGACCCCUCGACCGGGAGCCACCCUUGAUCUGGCAAGAAUGCUGAAGGAUCCAACAGACAGCAAGGGCAUCGUAGAGCCUCCAGAGGGGACGAAAAUUUACAAGGAUUCCUGGGAUUUUGAACCUUAUUUGGAAAUCUUGAAUGCUGCUGUAGGAGAUGAAAUAUUUCUUCACUCAUCCUGGAUAAAAGAAUACUUCACUUGGGCUGGAUUUAAAGAUUACAACCUUGUGGUCAGGAUCCAUAGCCGGGUGGAUGUCAUCAGACACGUGGUGAAAAAUGGUCUACUCUGGGACGAGUUGUAUAUAGGAUUCCAAACACGGCUCCAGCGGGAUCCUGACAUAUACCAUCACCUAUAUAGAUCUAGAUUUUCACAUAUAAGGACUCCUUAAAGCAAGGAACAUCAUAGUACAAUAAAAAUAAGACAAAAUCUCAUUCAAGGGACUAUCUGUAUUCAACACCCUGAAAGUUCUGAGCUACAUCAACAGCUGGAACAGUACAGAAACACUAUCUCUGAGGGAGGACAGAGUACCAGGUACUAAAUAGAUCCUGGCAAAUUAACAGGCAUGGAAGUUUCCAGAGCACAUUCCCAUGCUUUAUCUCUCUUACAGGUUUUGGAAUCAUUUUCAAAUAAAACUCCCCCUCACGCCACCCAACUGGAAGUCAUUCCUGAUGUGCUGUGAGCAGAAUGAGCCUGGGAUUUUGCAAGAAUGCAAAACCACAUGAAAAUUUCAAGAAUUCACUGAUCUGAUGCAAAAUAAAAAUUUAUCAUUACAUCUUGAACC